Molecule: antisense RNA, 178 nt
Filed under: Leptolyngbya sp. Heron Island J
Lineage: Bacteria; Bacillati; Cyanobacteriota; Cyanophyceae; Leptolyngbyales; Leptolyngbyaceae
Description: Antisense RNA which regulates isiA expression
Rfam family: Antisense RNA which regulates isiA expression
Source: Rfam by way of RNAcentral
GAUAGCCAAAGAUGAUUACUGGAUUAGUGGUGACAUUGUCUACCAGAUGAACCGUUCCUAAUACAGGAUCAUAAAUGCCACCAAAGCGUAUUGCUUUAAAGACAAAUAGUAAGGCGGCAAACCCCAAGAAAAUUAGGUGUUGUCCUAAAAUAAAGCCUAGGGUUUCUGGAUUACUCCA